UACGUAGGGUGCAAGCGUUAAUCGGAAUUACUGGGCGUAAAGCGUGCGCAGGCGGUUGUGCAAGACAGAUGUGAAAUCCCCGGGCCCAACCUGGGAAUUGCAUUUGUGACUGCACGGCUAGAGUGUGUCAGAGGGGGGUAGAAUUCCACGUGUAGCAGUGAAAUGCGUAGAGAUGUGGAGGAAUACCGAUGGCGAAGGCAGCCCCCUGGGAUAACACUGACGCUCAUGCACGAAAGCGUGGGGAGCAAACAGG
Molecule: ribosomal RNA, 253 nt
Filed under: uncultured bacterium
Lineage: Bacteria
Description: partial 16S ribosomal RNA
Rfam family: Bacterial small subunit ribosomal RNA
Source: RNAcentral